Small nuclear RNA from Cavia porcellus (domestic guinea pig), 102 nucleotides. The record is from Ensembl. NCBI's taxonomy places the organism in Eukaryota, Metazoa, Chordata, Mammalia, Rodentia, Caviidae.
GUGCUCACUUAAGCAGCACACACUAAAAUUGGAGCAAUACAGAGAUUAGCAUGGCCUUUGCUCAAGGAUGGGGUGCAAAUUUGUGAAGUUUUCCAUAUUUAA